CCCCGCGGGCUCCGCCCCCUCCCCCCUCGCGCUGAAACGCGCCGCGGGCGAAAGCGCGGGAAAGUCGUUCUGACCCGAAAUUCGCCUAAAUUCGAAUAAAAACGGGGCGGAGUUAUUAAUAAUAAUACUGACGAAACGCCGCUGGAGUAAAACACCGCGGAAACACCGCCGGAGUGACACACUGCUGUUGGUGGUGGCGAUUCCAGCCCUCCAACGCGUCUGCGGCCGCCCCCGGCCCUGCUGACAACAAACGCCCUGAAAUUUAAACGCUGGGUUUUUUUAAUGUUUGCCAACAUUUCUGCUCCCGAGCGAGUGUGGAUUAAGCAGUUCUCCAAACACCGGUGUCCCAGCAGCAGAUGGAGAUGCACAGCCCAUUGCCCUGCUCUGGCUGAACUCCCUAAGAAAUAAAAAAAAAACCAAGGAGAGGAAGCGAGUGGGAGCUUUCAGGAAAGGCUUUAAAACCGGCUGUUUGCACUCAUUUUGAUUUACUUUAAUUUUAUCUGGCUCUGCUCUACAUUAAAACAGUGAUAAUCAGUUUAACUUCCAUCAGAUUGAACAGACACAGGCUGGAAGUGGACAAACACUUCCAAAAAACCUUGCUGGCGGCAAAGUAUUUUUUCCUUCCACAUAACACAGACCCAAGGUGAACUUUAUGGGACCAGCAGGACAAUGAGCUGCAGUGCAGGGAGCAGCUGCACUUCCAUUCCCGGCCACAAACCCCGGCG
This is a long non-coding RNA of Lepidothrix coronata (blue-crowned manakin), 725 nucleotides long. RefSeq lists it as uncharacterized. The transcript is spliced from 3 exons. NCBI's taxonomy places the organism in Eukaryota, Metazoa, Chordata, Aves, Passeriformes, Pipridae. The record is from RefSeq and is a predicted model, not a curated record.